RNAcentral lists this long non-coding RNA (350 nucleotides) under Rosa chinensis. RNAcentral describes it as "sRNA RchiOBHm_Chr7g0206961". The record is from RNAcentral. Lineage: Eukaryota; Viridiplantae; Streptophyta; Magnoliopsida; Rosales; Rosaceae.
GACUUCUUCGGCAUGCUUUUCAAGAGCAUGAAGACAGGUUCUUUAGGUUUGCUGUAUAUCUUGUCCUAGAGAAGCUAGAACUUCAGGUCUAUCAGAGAUUGUUGAAAAAAGAUUUAUAUUAUCCAAAAGCAGAAGGACCCAAGCAAAGCUCACCAGCUGAAGUUGGAAGUAAUUGUCAAAGCAUUGAAAUGGUCAUUGAUGUGGAUGAGGUGGAGGGCAUAAUGGCGAUGCUAAUACACAAAAGUCUGCUGAAGGGAUACUUUGCACACAAGAGUAAAGUUGUGGUUUUAAGCAAGCACUGAUAUCCAACUCUUAUGCAAGUCCAUAACAAUAAAUUAUACUCUGCUAGU